Molecule: ribosomal RNA, 390 nt
Filed under: uncultured cyanobacterium
Lineage: Bacteria; Bacillati; Cyanobacteriota
Description: bacterial SSU rRNA
Rfam family: Bacterial small subunit ribosomal RNA
Source: RNAcentral
GGGAAUUUUCCGCAAUGGGCGAAAGCCUGACGGAGCAAGACCGCGUGAGGGAUGAAGGCCUUUGGGUUGUAAACCUCUUUUCUCAGGGAAGAAUACAAUGACGGUACCUGAGGAAUAAGCCUCGGCUAACUCCGUGCCAGCAGCCGCGGUAAGACGGAGGAGGCAAGCGUUAUCCGGAAUCACUGGGCGUAAAGCGUCCGCAGGUGGCUUUCCAAGUCUGCCGUCAAAGCCCGAGGCUUAACCUCGGAUCGGCGGUGGAAACUGGAUCUCUAGAGCAAUCAGGGGUAGGGGGAAUGCCUCAUGGGCGUUGUAAUCAAAGGAUUAGAUACCCCAGUAGUCAUGAGGAAUCUCCGCAAUGAGAUAGAACACCAGUGUCACGGGAUUGGGCGC